CCACUAAUGACUGAGAAAUGCACGGGGCCAGAUGUUCUCUUUGAAACAACAAAGGCUUUUUUUCCCCUGUUGUCUGUGAACAAACAUCAACCUUGGUUCCCUCUGACCAACUCAACUCCAGGAUCUCACCACGCCGUGAAAUUCAACUCUUUAUGCCUUAAAGGGGAGAUUCACACCAGUGUCUUUGUGUGAGUGUGUGUGUGUGUGUGUGUGCGUGCGUGUGUGCGCGCGCCAGAUUGAAAAGGCAGAUGCCGCAGAGACACAUGAUCAUCACCUGCUCUGAAAGACAGCGGCUCUGCGGUGAAGGAGACCAAAAUGAAUAAAUAGCUGGUAUCCAAGGAUACUGGGGGAGGAUGGUAGCUGACACAGAAAACUGUCCCGGCUUAUUGGCUGGAAGCAUUGCUCAGAAACUCCAUCUCCACCAAUCAGCAGCCUGCAGCAUCAGCGUUGUUAACAAUGGCUGUCAGCAUCAUCAAUGAAUCACCGGCAUCCUGUUCAUCCUCCUCACCAUCAUCACACGUCAUCAUGCUGGAGCGUUUCUCAGCAUCACACCUCCUGUGCAGCAGGAGGCCCGGUCUGGCGGCGAGGACCGGCUGGGCGCUAAUUGGGCCUGAAGCUUCUGAAUGGCGGCGCCUGCCGUGAAUGGAGAUGAAGGGUACGGCACCCCUUGGGGAGUGAUGCAGGAGAGAGAUGCCGAUCCAUUUAGUCGCAGGUCCCCAAGGAGCACGAGAGAAGGGAAUUAAACCAACACGACACCCGGCUGCUAACUGUGUCAGCAUCUAAAGGAGGCGGGCAAGGGGCGGUUAGGUGUGUUUCAGUAUGAAACAUCUGCUCUUAAUCCGCACCAACCCGAUGGCUAUACCCCCAUGGGGGGACUCAAACCCACUGAAGAGCGUACGCAACUGAGCAGUUCCUAAAAGAAAACCGAUCGGAUGGACCCACAGGAUCGUGAUGGAGUUUGCAGAUACGCCUUUUGCUCACCGUGUCUCAUGUUAGUGGGAACUUUCUCCUCACGUCUCCCCAUCGUGUUGCCCCCCCUUUGAAGGAGUCAAGGAGUGAAAAGAGAGAUGAGUCUUAAUAGAUCUCUCCUGUGUGCCGCUUCUGUGAAGAGGGCCGUGAUAAAACCCACGAGGAGAGAGUUCAUGGGACGAGACGUGCAGGGAAAAGGUGACACAGAUUUACACGGUGGGAGAUUUGCUAACCGGACGACUCGGUACAUUAAUUAAGUUGAUAUUGUUUAAAUGACAAUGACAAAAGGCGACGUUGACUGAGCCGCGCUGAGGACUCAGGUUGACCACGAGGGCGACGAGCCAGCGGCCGUUGGACGAGGCGCGGUGACCGCGGUUACCGGGCAAAGGGGAGGGCUGUUUGUGCAUAAUGUGUGCGUCUGCAGCCGUGGGGGUUGGGGUGUCCCAGAAAUUGCCAAUUGCCCUUCACCCUUCCCCCACGCUUGGGCACCCACGUGGAAAGUGACAGACUGAAAAGAGAGAGGGGGGCGCAGG
Molecule: long non-coding RNA, 1502 nt
Organism: Gasterosteus aculeatus aculeatus (three-spined stickleback)
Lineage: Eukaryota; Metazoa; Chordata; Actinopteri; Perciformes; Gasterosteidae
Source: Ensembl